RNAcentral lists this ribosomal RNA (492 nucleotides) under uncultured bacterium. Its description in RNAcentral is "partial 16S ribosomal RNA". It matches the Rfam family "Bacterial small subunit ribosomal RNA", at positions 29 to 507 of the family's 1533-position model. The record is from RNAcentral.
AGUGAACGCUGGCGGUAGGCCUAACACAUGCAAGUCGAACGGCAGCACAGUAAGAGCUUGCUCUUACGGGUGGCGAGUGGCGGACGGGUGAGGAAUACAUCGGAAUCUACUUUUUCGUGGGGGAUAACGUAGGGAAACUUACGCUAAUACCGCAUACGACCUACGGGUGAAAGCAGGGGAUCUUCGGACCUUGCGCGAUUGAAUGAGCCGAUGUCGGAUUAGCUAGUUGGCGGGGUAAAGGCCCACCAAGGCGACGAUCCGUAGCUGGUCUGAGAGGAUGAUCAGCAACACUGGAACUGAGACACGGUCCAGACCCCUACGGGAGGCAGAAGUGGGGAAUAUUGGACAAUGGGCGCAAGCCUGAUCCAGCAAUACCGCGUGGGUGAAGAAGGCCUUCGGGUUGUAAAGCCCUUUUGUUGGGAAAGAAAAGCAGCAGAUUAAUACCCCGCUGUUCUGACGGUACCCAAAGAAUAAGCACCGGCUAACUUCGUG